This 945-nucleotide long non-coding RNA is filed under the name Setaria viridis. RNAcentral describes it as "long non-coding RNA (SVIR_LNC008027)". Lineage: Eukaryota; Viridiplantae; Streptophyta; Magnoliopsida; Poales; Poaceae. The record is from RNAcentral.
GUGGGUGUCGUCGAGAAUUAAGGAGUCGAUGGUGAUGCAAGGAACAUGAUUUAGACAGGUUCGGGCCGCCAGAUCACGUAAUUCCCUUACAUCCUGUGUCUUGGUUGUAUUGAACUUGUGUCGAGUUGCACUUGUUGUUUGGAGGGGGUCCCUGCUCGCCCUUAUAUAGUCGGGGGAGCAGGAUUACAGGGCACGAGUCCUAGUCGAGUACGUUACAGAGUCCUACUCUAACUCGGUAGAGUAGUUUCCUUUGGACCCGACUAGUCUUCAGGGGGUCCAUGAAGCCUACGCGCCCUGUAGAGUAGUCUUCAUGGCCGAGCAGGUUUCGGAUACGUUCCCUUGAGCGGGUCUGUACAAGUCUUUUGGUGGGCCCGAGAGUGUCCAGCCGACACCCACCACCCCCUCCGUCGGCUCCCACCUACUCACCCACCAUCGCCAUUGCUGCCUCACCUUGCCCCGCCGCUCCUCCUUACUACCGGUGAGGGGCGAGCGGAGGGGGGACGGGAGGGGAGGCAGAGGAGGAGAGCUCAAGAGUGUGAGGAUUGAGAGAGAUAGAGAAGAGACGGACCGGAGAGAGACAGAAAGUGAGGAGAUAAGAAGACGGAUGGAUGGGAGAGAGAGAGAGGAUAAGAAGCCGCAGGGGUCUGUGAGAGAGAGGGGAGGAGGGCCCGACGGAUGGGAGCUUUAGUAUCGGGUGGAAGGUUCACCUGGUACUAAAGGGGGUCACAGGGACCAUCUCGGAAACUAUCCAUUAGGCUCGGUACUGCUGCUCUUAUUAGUACCGGAUCAAAAUAUAACCGAAACUGAAUCUCGGGAUGAAUGCUCUAAGCAGUGAUCCCAGCACGGUGACACGUUGUUCUUCGAUUUGCGUCCUGUCUCUCUUCUCCUCCCAUCCGUGCCUGCCGGCCUGCGUAUCCGCCGCUGCACACCUCUCUCACCUAUCGC